Molecule: long non-coding RNA, 224 nt
Filed under: Capsicum annuum
Lineage: Eukaryota; Viridiplantae; Streptophyta; Magnoliopsida; Solanales; Solanaceae
Description: long non-coding RNA (CANN_LNC020499)
Source: RNAcentral
UCUUUUUCCCGCAUAAGUCAUACUGCGAUUUAAUUUUAAACAUCGCAGAAUUAUAUUCAGUUACAUUUUUGAAGUCUUAGAACCUCAAAUAGGUCCAUUCAUUACGAGUUUGUGGGAGUAUGACCAUCUUCAGGUGGUCAUAUCUUUCCUUUAGAUUGUUCCACAAUUUAAGGGGAUCUUUGAUCAUGAGGUACUCCAUUUUUAACCCUUCGUCAAGAUGAUGA